UAUUGUUGUAGUCAGGAAAAAUACUUAAUAUAAUUUCAGUCUUUUUAAAUUUAUAGGACUUGUUUUGUGGCCUAAAAUGUGAUCUAUACUGAAGAAUGUUUUAUGUGCUGUUCAGAAGAAUUUGUACACUGCACCUGCUGGAUGGAAUGGUUCGAGGCUGAGAAACCCCAGGAUCUGCAGUUGGCCAGCUGGAGAAGCAGAAGAGCGAGUGGUAUAGUUCCAACCUGAAUCUGAAGGCUUGAGAACCAAGAAGAGCCAAGAGUGUCAGUCCCAGUUUGCGCCAGUUCUGAAGUCCAGAGAAGACUAAUGUCCCAGCUCAAAGACAGAAAAGGGGAGAGAAGAGUGUGUGGAAAAUUUUAGGACAAGAACUACAGUUUUCCACUGGACGUCAGAAGAGGCAAGAUGAGAUCUUAGACCUAGAGAGAGUAGGUAAGCACUAAAUGUCAACUAAGCCAGCUGUCAAUUCCAAGAAGGUCCAAUGAAGUAAGAGAGAACCUCUCCAUAACAAAAGUUGAAUAUAAGUAAGAGACAGAAAUGUGUUAAUCAUGCUUUCUGACAAAAUGUCUAAAAGUGAAUAAUACUUUUAUAUUUGCCUGUAAAUAUAUAAAAUAUACCUGUAUAGAUAGAGAAGAAAAUGAUCGUAUUUGUUAUUUUCAGACAAGGAACCAGUUGUUGGAAAGAGAGUGAGGUGAUUAAGAAUUUCCAAAACACGUCCUUUGUUACUCUUGAAUUUUGAACCAUGUAAAUGUUUUAUCUAUCUAAAAAUUGCAAAUAUUAUGAAAUAAUGCUCCAAAUAAAAAAAAAUGAGGACUAAAGUUUUAAAAAUAAUGAAAUUAAAUACUGUCUAAUCAUACCUUACAUUUGUUGAGCACAUACACGUGCCAGGCAUUUUAUACUCAUCACUUCAUUUAAUUCAUAUUAUCAAUCCCAUUUUUUAGAUAUUGGGAAAAUGAAAUUUAAUGAGAUUGUCUUUUUGUGUUUUUCAUAGUUUUGAGCUUUGUGAAAGACAGCUAGAACAGUAAGCAUUUGUCUUCAAUUAAACUAAGAAAUUAAUUAAACACCAGAUAAACACUGUUGUAGCAAUUAGUACUUACAAUCUCCUCAGGUAUUUCUUGGUAAAUAUUGCAUAUUAGCUUCACAAUUGCUUUACUGUGGUAAAUCAUGUUCAAGAACAGAUUUUCUAUAUGUUCCAUGAAAGUAGGUGACUAUGCAUUCCACCUUUAUUCAUGAAAAUCUAGUCUGUUUUACAACUGACA
This 1256-nucleotide long non-coding RNA is filed under the name Homo sapiens (human). RNAcentral's name for it is "HSALNT0125101". Lineage: Eukaryota; Metazoa; Chordata; Mammalia; Primates; Hominidae. The record is from RNAcentral.